CUUGGAAAUCUGAACAAAAUGAGUGAGAACUCACUACCGUCUCCUCAUCGAAACUGAGGAGAGCAGCAUGGCGGACCCCUGAUCUUGUGGCGUGCCACCGCGCGAGGCCGAGGAGCUCCCGCAGCCCAGUGGGCGUGGCGUCCUUGUCGC
Molecule: long non-coding RNA, 150 nt
Filed under: Sus scrofa (pig)
Lineage: Eukaryota; Metazoa; Chordata; Mammalia; Artiodactyla; Suidae
Description: lncRNA (ENSSSCG00070007013.1)
Rfam family: Small nucleolar RNA SNORD116 (bases 1-62)
Source: RNAcentral